This 369-nucleotide ribosomal RNA is filed under the name uncultured organism. Its description in RNAcentral is "partial 16S ribosomal RNA". It matches the Rfam family "Bacterial small subunit ribosomal RNA", at positions 527 to 896 of the family's 1533-position model. The record is from RNAcentral.
GUAGGGUGCAAGCGUUAAUCGGAAUUACUGGGCGUAAAGCGUGCGCAGGCGGUUAUAUAAGACAGAUGUGAAAUCCCCGGGCUCAACCUGGGAACUGCAUUUGUGACUGUAUAGCUAGAGUACGGUAGAGGGGGAUGGAAUUCCGCGUGUAGCAGUGAAAUGCGUAGAUAUGCGGAGGAACACCGAUGGCGAAGGCAAUCCCCUGGACCUGUACUGACGCUCAUGCACGAAAGCGUGGGGAGCAAACAGGAUUAGAUACCCUGGUAGUCCACGCCCCUAAACGAUGUCAACUGGUUGUUGGGUCUUCACUGACUCAGUAACGAAGCUAACGCGUGAAGUUGACCGCCUGGGAGUACGGCCGCAAGGUUG